UAAAGACUAAGCCAUGCAUGUCUUCGAAUAAGAGGAAGCAAUUCUCUCUGAAUCUGCGUACGGCUCCGCACACCAGUUGUAAACCAAAGCAAGCAAGCCCGGUCUCGACGCCUUUCGGGGCUAGGGGCCGGGCUACAAGGAUAACCCUGGUAAUUCUGAGGCUAAUACUUGACACCUAACCUGUCGACUGGGUCUCGGCCCGGGAAGCGGGGGAUGUGCGACUAUCGGGCCAACAAAACCGGAAAGAGCGCACGUUCAGACCACUUAAAAAGGCCACGGGGUCCCUCGGGACCUCGGGGCUGUGGCUCUUGCAGCGUGCUUCUGACCUAUCAACUAGACGGCAGCCUAAGGGACAUGCUUUGGUGACAACGGGUACAGAGGAUAAGGGUUCGAUCCUGGAGAGUGGGCCUGAGAGAUUGCUCAUACUUCUAAGGAAGGCAGCAGGCGCGCAACGUUCCCAUUGGACAUCGUCUGAGGGCGUUAGGGGAAAUAUUAAUACCUGCCCAAUGGGUGGGUAAUUAAAAUGGGUCUGUUCUAAACAGGCUCUCGAGUAACAAUUAGAGGACAAGUCUGGUGCCAGCACCCGCGGUAAUUCCAGCUCUAAUAGCAUACGUUAAAGUUGUUGCAGUUAAAACGCUCGUAGUCGGCUUCAGACCACUGGAUGCGGAUGGCGGAGACCUGGAAUGUGCCCCUCAAAGGGUGCGCUGGGCGACUGACAAAUGCGGAAGGUGGUCAAACGUGCCUACAACGUGCCCGGCUCCGGCUGGGAUUUACAAGGCUUGUUCUGCCCUCAAAAGCGGUUCUUGCCCGGUUGUAGGUGCCAAUUACCAUGAAUAAACCAGAGUGCUCCAAGCAGGCCAAUCGGUCUUGCAUGGCACAGCAUGGUAUAAGACCAGCAGGGGCUAGCUUUUGCUCGGGUUAGCCCCCUGGACUAAGCAAAAGGGGUGUUCGAGGGUGACCGAAUUGCCGGGCGAGUGGUGAAAUACGUUGACCCUGGCAAGUCGACCUAUGGCGAAAGCUGUCAUCAAGGGCACGCCCGUUGAUCAAGAGCGAAAGUUAAGGGUUCGAAGACGAUCAGAUACCGUUGUAGUCUUAACUAUAAACGAUACUGACUAGGGAUAGGGCAAUGUCCAUUCCGACUCCCCCUGAACUUCGGAGAAAUUAAAGUCUUUGAGUUCCGGGGGGAGUAUGGUCGCAAGGCUGAAACUUAAAGGAAUUGACGGAAGGGCACACAAAGAGUGGAACCUGCGGCUUAAUUUGACUCAACACGGGAAAACUCACCAGGUCAGGAUACAUGUAUGAAAGACAAGCUGAUAGACUUUUCUCAAUAACGUAAGUGGUGGUGCAUGGCCGUUCUUAGUUCGUGGAGUGAUUCGUCUGGUCUAUUCCGAUAACGAGCGAGACAGCAGCGAACUAAAUAGGACCUGGUGCUUCAAGUCGGCCUCUUCGGGGGUCUUCUGCCGGCAGCUGGUCAAUUCAACUACUUAGUCGGAUUGGAGCCGAUAAGGCUUCUGAAAUGCGUCAAUAACAGGUCAGUCAUGCCCUUAGAUGUUCUGGGCCGCACGCGCGUUACAAUGGCAUAAAGAGCGAGUAUUCAUUACGAGUAUUUCCGCGGCCUUCGGGCCGUGGUAAUCAGUAAACUCCGCCUUGACUGGGAUAGACUAUUGUAAUUAUUGGUCUUGAACGAGGAAUUUUUAGUAGUCGUGCGUCAUCAGCGCGCGACGAAUGCGUCCCUGCCCUUUGUACACACCGCCCGUCGCUGCUACCGAUUGGGUUUUACGGUUACGUGUUCGGAGGCUAUGGGAACCGCUCUUCACGGGGCUGGGAACCACUGCCAAAGUUCCAAUUACCGUACGGCCUAGAGGAAGCAGAAGUC
RNAcentral lists this ribosomal RNA (1876 nucleotides) under Meriderma cribrarioides. RNAcentral's name for it is "SSU rRNA". It matches the Rfam family "Eukaryotic small subunit ribosomal RNA". The record is from RNAcentral. Lineage: Eukaryota; Evosea; Eumycetozoa; Stemonitida; Stemonitidae.